RNAcentral lists this unclassified non-coding RNA (23 nucleotides) under Mus musculus (house mouse). Its description in RNAcentral is "oocyte_clustered_small_RNA1324". The record is from RNAcentral. Lineage: Eukaryota; Metazoa; Chordata; Mammalia; Rodentia; Muridae.
UCAGGCAAUGUGGUCCCGGGCCG